GACGAACGCUGGCGGCGUGCUUAACACAUGCAAGUCGAACGGAAAGGCCCUGCUUUUGUUGGGUGCUCGAGUGGCGAACGGAUGAGUAACACGUGAGUAACCUGCCCUUGACUUUGGGAUAACUUCAGGAAACUGGGGCUAAUACCGGAUAGGAGCUCCUGCUGCAUGGUGGGGGUUGGAAAUUUUCGGCGGUUGGGGAUGGACUCGCGGUUGAUCAGCUUGUUUGGGUGGUAGUGGCUUACCAAGGCUUUGACGGGUAGCCGGCCUGAGAGGGUGACCGGCCACCUUGGGACUGAGAUACGGCACAGACUCGUACGGGAGGCAGCAGUGGGGAAGAUUGCACAAUGGGCGGAAGCCGGAUGCAGCAACGCCGCGUGCGGGAUGACGGCCUUCGGGUUGUAAGCAGCUUUCGCGUGUGACGAUGCGUGAGUGACGGUAAUGGAUAAAGAAGCACCGGCUAACUACGUG
RNAcentral lists this ribosomal RNA (468 nucleotides) under uncultured bacterium. RNAcentral describes it as "partial 16S ribosomal RNA". It matches the Rfam family "Bacterial small subunit ribosomal RNA", at positions 28 to 507 of the family's 1533-position model. The record is from RNAcentral.